GACGAACGCUGGCGGCGUGCCUAAUACAUGCAAGUCGAGCGCAGGAAACUGACGGAACUCUUCGGAGGGAAGGCAGUGGAAUGAGUGGCGGACGGGUGAGUAACACGUAAGGAACCUGCCUCAAGGAUUGGGAUAACUCCGAGAAAUCGGAGCUAAUACCGGAUAGUUCAACGGACCGCAUGGUCCGCUGAUGAAAGGCGCUUCGGCGUCACCUUGAGAUGGCCUUGCGGUGCAUUAGCUAGUUGGUGGGGUAACGGCCCACCAAGGCGACGAUGCAUAGCCGACCUGAGAGGGUGAUCGGCCACACUGGGACUGAGACACGGCCCAGACUCCUACGGGAGGCAGCAGUAGGGAAUCUUCCACAAUGGACGAAAGUCUGAUGGAGCAACGCCGCGUGAGUGAUGAAGGUUUUCGGAUCGUAAAACUCUGUUGUAAGGGAAGAACACGUACGAGAGGAAUGCUCGUACCUUGACGGUACCUUACGAGAAAGCCACGGCUAACUACGUGCCAGCCGCCGCAGUAA
This 523-nucleotide ribosomal RNA is filed under the name uncultured bacterium. Its description in RNAcentral is "partial 16S ribosomal RNA". It matches the Rfam family "Bacterial small subunit ribosomal RNA", at positions 28 to 523 of the family's 1533-position model. The record is from RNAcentral.